This 120-nucleotide ribosomal RNA is filed under the name Castor canadensis (American beaver). The record is from RNAcentral. Lineage: Eukaryota; Metazoa; Chordata; Mammalia; Rodentia; Castoridae.
GUCUAUGGCCAUACCACCCUAAGCGCACCCGAUCUCGUCUGAUCUCGGAAGCUAAGCAGGAUCGGGCCUGGUUAGUACUUGGAUGGAAGACUGUAAUCUGGGGAUGAGUCACCUUAUAGC